This is a long non-coding RNA of Phyllostomus discolor (pale spear-nosed bat), 1727 nucleotides long. RefSeq lists it as uncharacterized. The transcript has 3 exons. The record is from RefSeq and is a predicted model, not a curated record. Lineage: Eukaryota; Metazoa; Chordata; Mammalia; Chiroptera; Phyllostomidae.
CUGAAUUCCCCUACAUUCUCUGGGGCUGAGGUCACUGAAUAUCCCCAGCCUUUCCUGCCAGGACAAUGUGCUAGUCCAGGGGCAUUAGGUGGGCAGCUAGUUAUCUGUGUACUACCCACAGGUACCCUGGGAAGGGGAGGGUAAGUAACUUCUGCAGGAGCCCAAGGAAGCAAGUAGAGCCUACCUGGCUAGCUGCAGGGCCAGCACCCUGGAAGGCCCCCUGCUGUGCUAGCUCUGGUGGGGGCAGACGCUCCCCAGAGCCCUCCUCCCACCGCUGUGGGGAGGCUGCGGUCCUGUCCAGUUCCAGGGAACGGGGGAGGGAGGGAGGGAGAAGAAGGGGCAGGCCUGCCCCGACAAGUUUCAACUUGAAUGUGGAAAGAGCGCUCACUGGAGCAUGGAGAAAGCGGGGAAGGACUGCCCAUCGGCAGAGCAUCUCUUUGAUCAUCUUUCGAGGUGCUUUUGGUCCCUUUUUUUUUUUAACAGAAGGUGAAACCGGCCCAGAGAGGUUAUAGAACUUUCCUCAGGUCACCCAGUAAGUGGGGGGAGUCAGAAAUUCCACCCAGAACCCUCUGACUGUAAAACCUGGGCCCAGUCUGUUCCUCUUUGCUGCCCGGGAAAGGUCUGGUAUGGCUCAGGAGGAAAUGUCUGCCGUCAACCCUGUGAUUCCCCUGUCGUUCGGUGCUGGCCUCCCUUGCUCCCUCCGAGACUUGGCACGUGCCUGAAAUCUCCACUAGAAAACAAUGCGGAGAGGAAACGGCCAGACUUCUCUGUUUCCACCCCAGGGCUCUCCUUCUGGGCUCUCAGCCCUCCUCGCACAGACAGCACGGGGCGAGCCCUGCAGCGCCAGGCCGGGUGAUCUCAGCGCGCUGGGCAUCGCCCCCAGUUCCUGCUUUUGCAAGUCUCCUUUGGUCAUUUUUGACAGAGUGAAAACCAACCUCUGAAAUCUAGCCCGUGUGGUUGGUUCACUUUGAUAAAGCUGUGGGAUCUAGGCCCCCAUGAUGUCACCUCCCUGCCUCCCAAGGGAUGCUAGAUGCUGUCCCUGCCCCCUUAGCCCUUCUCAGAUCUCUCCGCACAGAGGAGGGCGAGUCCUCCUUAUCUCCCCUGGUUGGUCUCGGUAUUUCUCAUGCUCUCUGACACUCCCGCCACCUUGGGGUGCUACUCCUCCCCCUCAACACCUCACAGCUUGAAGGUGAUGAGAAACUUUCAGUCACAGUGGCCUUGGCUGAUGUUGCUGUUCUGCGAAACUGGUUUUGCUCCAAGGAGAAGACCAAGGCCCAGCUUGUGACGUUGUCCCUCCGCCAUGGCCAGGUGGGGCAAAUUUCAUCUCCUUGAACUUGGAUGGACCUUGAACUUGACCAGCCGAGUGCUGUGGAAGUGCUGCUGAGUAACUUUGGAGACUAGAUCAUGAAAGGUGAUAUGGUUUCUGCUUGUCUCUCUGACCACAUCUCUGAGAGCCCAGAGCCAACACGCAAGAAGUCGAGGUGCCCUCAGGCUGCCGUGCGGACAGGCCACGGGGCACUGCUGAGGGUGUCUGAGGAGCAGCCCCCUGUGGUUCCCCUGGCCCAGGCAGCAGACACGUGAGUGUAGCACCCUUCAGAUGGCCCAGCCGCCUGCCGGGGUUAUAAUCCCGUGAGAGGCCGCCCAGCCAGAAUCACCUGGUCCAGCAGCCUCCAAAUUCAUGACUCUUAGAAACUCAGAGAGAUAACAAAUGAAUACUAUUGUUUUAA